AUGCUGCACGGACGGAACUCAUCUCCCCCAAAUUUAGCUGCAGGAGACAGAAGCGCAGGCAGACAGAGGGAGGGAGAGAUGAGACGAGGUGGUGGUGUGUGUGGGGGGGGUGCAGGGCAGGCCUACACGCACUCACAUCCUACCAGCAGCUGCCGUGGCAGCUUCCUGGUCGCCUGCUUGGUGCACAUUGCCCUUAGAAAACUCUGUCAUGUUUCCACACCGAACCAGGCAUGUGCAGUUUCCACAGUGACUGCAGGAGCAGAGCCAGAAAUAACCUCGCUGAGGUGGAAAACAUCCCUUCCUUGGUGCUCCACUGGCUCUCAGACACUUACUCUCCCUUGUCGCUGUGGUCUUGCAGGUGCAAGAGGCCCUUCCAGGGCUUGGUGGCCACUUAGGGGGACGGGCGCAGUGUGGACUCGCCCCCAGGGAUCUGAGUGCGGCUGGGCUGGCACCCUCGCCUCCUCAUGCGCCCUGGAGAGCUGUCUACCCUCCUUCUUGGGCUCACCACCGCUGAGCUGGAGGGCCCUACAGCAUCGCAGCCCUUCCUUCUCUGACGUCUGGCCACCAAACACUGGGAUGCGCUGGGUACGCCUUUGGCCCCGACACACGUGCUGCUCAGCCCUUGCCCCUCCUCGGGCUUCCAGGAUGCGACUGGAUCCUGCCUGGGAUGCGGGCCCAAACAGGGAAGCGACCACUCUCACGAGCCCAGGUGGUCCCCUGCUCUGCCAUUGGGGGAGGGGUGGCAAGCCCACCCGCCUUUUGCAUGUCUGCCCUGGGAGACCCAUAAGGGAGCUGGCUCUAAACUCUAUCUCCUCCCAAGGUUCCCAUAACCCUCUAGGGAGGUUUCCUCUAAGAACAAGAUCUCAUCCCCUGUGGGGGCUAAAAGAUGUGCUGAAGUAUAGAGGAAGCCAACAAAUAUCUAGGCCGUGCUAUCCACAUGACACGUAUGACAUGGUGUCCUUGGGACCCUGGGAAAUACUCGCCAUGGCCUUCUCAUGUUUUACCCAUCAGAGGCAAACAAGAGUGAGCACAGCUUCUACGUGCUGGGUCGUGGGCUGA
Molecule: long non-coding RNA, 1059 nt
Filed under: Canis lupus familiaris (dog)
Lineage: Eukaryota; Metazoa; Chordata; Mammalia; Carnivora; Canidae
Description: lncRNA (ENSCAFG00030023141.1)
Source: RNAcentral